RNAcentral lists this ribosomal RNA (482 nucleotides) under uncultured bacterium. RNAcentral describes it as "partial 16S ribosomal RNA". It matches the Rfam family "Bacterial small subunit ribosomal RNA", at positions 30 to 507 of the family's 1533-position model. The record is from RNAcentral.
AUUGAACGCUGGCGGCAUGCCUUACACAUGCAAGUCGAACGGUAACAGGUCUUCGGAUGCUGACGAGUGGCGCACGGGUGAGUAAUACAUCGGAACGUGCCCGAUCGUGGGGGAUAACGAGGCGAAAGCUUUGCUAAUACCGCAUACGAUCUACGGAUGAAAGCGGGGGAUCUUCGGACCUCGCGCGGACGGAGCGGCCGAUGGCAGAUUAGGUAGUUGGUGGGAUAAAAGCUUACCAAGCCGACGAUCUGUAGCUGGUCUGAGAGGAUGAUCAGCCACACUGGGACUGAGACACGGCCCAGACUCCUACGGGAGGCAGCAGUGGGGAAUUUUGGACAAAGGGCGAAAGCCUGAUCCAGCCAUGCCGCGUGCAGGAUGAAGGCCUUCGGGUUGUAAACUGCUUUUGUACGGAACGAAAAGCCUCUUUCUAAUAAAGAGAGGUCAUGACGGUACCGUAAGAAUAAGCACCGGCUAACUACGUG